UACGUAGGGUGCAAGCGUUAAUCGGAAUUACUGGGCGUAAAGCGUGCGCAGGCGGUUCGCUAAGACAGAUGUGAAAUCCCCCGGGCUUAACCUGGGAACUGCAUUUGUGACUGGCGGGCUAGAGUAUGGCAGAGGGGGUAGAAUUCCACGUGUAGCAGUGAAAUGCGUAGAGAUGUGGAGGAAUACCGAUGGCGAAGGCAGCCCCCUGGGCCAACUACUGACGCUCAUGCACGAAAGCGUGGGGAGCAAACAGG
Molecule: ribosomal RNA, 254 nt
Filed under: uncultured bacterium
Lineage: Bacteria
Description: partial 16S ribosomal RNA
Rfam family: Bacterial small subunit ribosomal RNA
Source: RNAcentral